AUUCUGGCUCAGGAUGAACGCUAGCUACAGGCUUAACACAUGCAAGUCGAGGGGCAGCAUGAAGUCAGCUUGCUGACUUGAUGGCGACCGGCGCACGGGUGAGUAACGCGUAUCCAACCUACCCCAUAGUAGGGGAUAGCCCGUAGAAAUGCGGAUUAAUACCCUAUGUUUUCCGAGGAGGACAUCUGACUUGGAACAAAGAUUCAUCGCUAUGGGAUGGGGAUGCGUCCGAUUAGCUUGUUGGCGGGGUGACGGCCCACCAAGGCGACGAUCGGUAGGGGUUCUGAGAGGAAGGUCCCCCACACUGGUACUGAGACACGGACCAGACUCCUACGGGAGGCAGCAGUGAGGAAUAUUGGUCAAUGGGCGAGAGCCUGAACCAGCCAAGUAGCGUGCAAGGAAGACGGCCCUACGGGUUGUAAACUGCUUUUAUCAGGGGAUAAAGUGUGGGACGCGUCCCUCAUUGCAGGUACCUGAUGAAUAAGGACCGGCUAAUUCCGUGCCAGCAGCAGC
This 513-nucleotide ribosomal RNA is filed under the name uncultured bacterium. Its description in RNAcentral is "bacterial SSU rRNA". It matches the Rfam family "Bacterial small subunit ribosomal RNA", at positions 16 to 518 of the family's 1533-position model. The record is from RNAcentral.